GGCGUGACACUAGUCACGUGACCUCGCUGACACAACAUAGUUUUAAAAUAAAUUACACAAAUACAGGGCAAUAUAUAUAGGCAUAACAUAUAGUUUUAAAAUUAAUUACACAAAUAUAGGGCAAUAUAUAUAGGCAUAACAUAUAGUUUUUAAACUGAUUACACAAAUAUAGGGCAAUAUAUAUAGGCAUAACAUAUAGUUUUAAAACUGAUUACACAAAUAUAGGGCAAUAUAUAUAGGCAUAACAUAUAAUUUUAAAAUUAAUUACACAAAUACAGGGCAAUAUAUAUAGGUAUAACAUAUAGUUUUAAAACUGAUUACACAAAUACAGAGAAAUUACUUUUGUGGCCACAACUAAUUUCAGUUUAAUCUGAGGUUCUACCUAGUUUGCUAUCCAUGUGUCAUGGACUAAUUUUGCUCCACUACUUAUAUAUAAUUUCUUCAUUUCUUGUAGAAUCAUCAGGAAUCACCCCUUUUUUUCUGGUAACUGAUAUUAACCUAGGAAUUCCCACAGCAGUAGGAAGCAAACUUCUACAAUUGGGAGCCAUAAUAUUAUCAAAAGAUGCUGGACAAGUCAGUGCUUUAACUUGGAAGAUUGGUGCUUUUACCAGUGCAGCCCGUAUUUUGACAUACACAGUUGAGGUCUGGGACCCAGUGCUGCUUUUAUACCAUUCCUUAUCACUUGUCUUGAAUUUAGCAGUUGCAAUUGCUGCUAUUGUUUACAGGAAACCAAUUACAAAGGAAGGAUGAGUCAUUUUACAUCCUUUAUUGGUUUGCACAUUAAGUUUUAAUAAUAGGUCAGGUAAAGGAUGGAUUUUCAUAUGUUUUUUUUUUAUUCCAGUGUCAAUGUUUGUAAAGAAAUGUUUCACACUUCAAACAGAAGACUGCUGUUGUCAUGUUUUGAACAAUUCCAAAAGAUUGGAAGUUUGUUUCAGGGGACCAUAUUUUGAUAACUGACUUUCUUAUAUUAGCAAACAAUGAGUGAUGUUUUGCAAGUAUUUUCUUUCCUUGUUUCCAGAAAGAAGUAGACUAGCUCCACAAAAUUGGCCUAGGGUGUCGAAUUGACCAGUCUCUCAUUAAUAUGGAACAUGAAUGAAUCAACAGAAAAGGCUGACCAUGUUAGGAGAGGCUAAUAACCAUUAUGCUUAAAUUACAAAGAAUACUUAGUGCACUAAUAAUGGAUGUCUUGCAGCAAUUAAAAGUUGCAAUUCAAUGAUGACCACCAUCAAACAUAUCUGACCCUUGCAAAAUCUCCUGAUGGAAUGGUCAAACCUAAACUACAAAUACUGUGUUGUCUGUUUAAAUAAGUAAUUAUUUAAAAUUUACAUCCAAAGUAUUUCUGAAUAUUUAAAUUAUAAAUACACCAACCUGUCAUAUAAGAACACUUGUGUUCACUUUGUAUUAACUAGACAGCAAACAAUAUAAACAAAGUCAUUCUUACACUGUAAUUAAAUUAAACUUGCUGAAACAAUUUCAAGGACUGACACAAAUGCACAAUUUCUAAAGGAUGUUAUAAUAAAGGAUCAACAAAGUUAAUCACGGUAGUUGUAUAUUGGUUAUAAGAACCACCACUAAUUGUGUAGAUUUGUUAACAAGGAGGACCAUUUCUACAAAUAACUUAAAUUUGUAUCUAACUAUGUGUAAUUAUGUUCCUCUCCUGUUAUGCAUAGUGCUUUGUUUGUUUGUUGUCAGUGUAUCUUUUCUGAAAAGGUAACACUGUGAGUGCUUUUAAUUUUGUGAAAAUCAAUAUUUGUGAGCUCAUCAAAAUUCUCUAUCUUAUGGGCUUUAAAAUUUGCAUAUUCACACAAAAAAAGCAUCAAAUGUGAAAGUAUUAUUUUUUAUGAGAGGCCUAUACAAAGUUUAAUUAUAUACUUUUUGAAAUUAAUUAUAUACACUGAAAACAAUAAAUAGGAUAUUAAUGCUUAAACAUCAAAGUUUAGAUGCUAAGCUACUCCUGCCUUUUUAUAUAUAAAUAUAAAAAAAAGCAAAAGUGGCAUAAUUAAGAUAAGUAAACCUUAAGGUUUGGACUCCUUCUUUCUGUGGUUUACCCGAUACAAAAGAAUAUUCAUCAUUUCAAGAAACCUUAAAGAGUCCAGGCUGCCAGCAGUUGUUUAGAAACAGCAGCCUUUGAUCAUAAAAGUGAUGAAUAGUAGUGAAUUAGUAAUAUAAAGGAAUAACAUCUAAUGGUUCUGUCAGAAUAACCAUACAGGAAACCUAUGUGACAAUUGUUAAAUAUUUUUAUAUUAUCUAUUUUCUGAUAUAUGUCUUUCACAUGUUGCUUUGAAUAAGUAGUAAAAGAGCUCAUAUUACAAUGGAAGUGACUUAAGUGCCACUUUUGCAGGUCGUUUUGUGGGGCCAUUUUUGUAAUGUGAAACCUCUUUACAAAUUUUUUACACUGAUCUGAAAAAAAGUAUCAGAAAAUUGUUUCACCAAACAAAAAACAAUUAAACCAAAAUACAAAAGUAUCUUUUCUGUCAACGUUUUUGAAGAGUGUGUGUGCACGCAUACAAGUGUGCUUAUGCAUAUAUAUUUAUAGAAUGUAUCUAAAUUAUACGAUACUUUAUGAAAUACUGUUUGCACAGUUGACUGCAGUAGGAAGCAAAAUUUGCAUGACUAGGUGUCAAUCAAGUUUAUCACAAGUGUACUUACUGUAGUCGUGCUGACUAGGGAGAUUUGUAAGAUUGCACUAACAGAGAUUUUGGUGUAUAUUGAUUUGCAGCAGAGACUAAAAUGUGAUGGACAUCACAAGAAAAAUUAAUAAUACAAGUAUAAUGACCAAUUUGACUUUUUUUAAUAUCUCCAGUGAUCAAAUUCAUGUUGGAAUCUUUAUAUGGUUAUAGUAAGUGGUAAUUUUGGACCAAAAACUCAAAUUGGAAAGCCAUCAACAUUUUAAAGUCAAAAGGCUCAACUCUAUGGUAUUUGUAAUCAAGGAACACAUUUCAAUGCCAGGUUUGCUAGUAAUAAAUAACAUGGCUAAAGGGUUUUAUGCAUUAAAUUCGAAAUUUUUGGUGUUUUUAAUUAUAACAUAAGAUUACUAUUUGGAAAGCCCAGUGUUCUAUCUCUUGAAAUGCAUGUAAUUUGAACCAGUUGGAAAAAACCCCUUUCUUAAAGCAGAAAAUUGACCUGUGUAAAAACAAGUUUAGAUCUAUUGUUUUGAAACUACAAGAAAUUUGUAUACAGAUACGAGUUUCAACACUUGCGUAUCUUCUUCAGUCCGUCUGCUCAUGAGAAAAACAGAUACACUGUUUAUUUCAGAAUGGAAGUUUCAAGCCCCUUGACACCAGAAGACAAAGGAAAUCGCUGGUUCUGAUAUGUUGUUGACACAUUUUCUGUUUGUCCAAUCAAUAGAAAUUACUUGUAAGCUUUUUUCCACAAGAUUAACAAGCUUCACGGUACUAUUUAGUUUAAAGUGGAAGGAGAAACCCAUAAUUUGCUCCCAUUUUUAAGACAUUAAUACUUGGAGCAGAAAUAGCUACUAUUUUAUCUAUGGAGGAUCAAUGAAUCCUUUAAGCUAUUUUAAUAUUCCACCAUGAAACAUCAAUUAUCUACAAUGUUUUUAAGAGCUUACAGAUUAUAUCAUCACAAAAGCAUUGUUAAAGAAAUAAAAAUAUGUAUACAAUUUUCAAAUGGUUACAGUAUCCUAUAGGCUUUAUUAAGAAUGUCCAUCUAAGGACAAAGAACUGGGUGGGGGGCUAGUACCAGCAAGUAGCAUAUUCUACAUGUGAAAAAAUAAAAUAUUUAGUGUUAACUACAGUUCCAGUAUUGUGGCUUUAGAGAAAUGUCUGUAAAAUAAUUUUAAAGUUGUUUAUAAAUAUCCCAACACCAUUAAAGAUUUCUUACCCUUGAACAACUCUGUAUCUCAAAAUAAAGAGCAGGGAGUGUAUAAAGUCCCCUGACAAUCUUGCAAAAAGAGUAAAUGAUGGUAAAAUGUACAUACAAAGCUUGCAGUACAUAAAAAGGAUGUUAAAUAUCUGUUUUUCUAUAUGAGGAAUUUCAGACCUAAAAUCAACUGGAUAUCAGUUAAAAUAAUUAAUAAAAUUAGAAAUUAUGUGUAAAGAUAGAUUGUGGAAAGUUUGUUCCUUAAUCCAAAGUUUGCCAAACUUCAACACGUCUGAAGGUCACUUUAAACUCAACCCCUUUAUGAUGUCAUAUGCUAUUAAUGGAUUUGAAACUUCCAUCAUAAAAUUAACAGUUUAUGCAUGGUCACCCAUAAAAAAAAAAAAAAAAAAAUUCUUGGGGGAGGCAAAACGUAUUU
Long non-coding RNA from Limulus polyphemus (Atlantic horseshoe crab), 4255 nucleotides. RefSeq lists it as uncharacterized. The record is from RefSeq and is a predicted model, not a curated record. The transcript has 3 exons. NCBI's taxonomy places the organism in Eukaryota, Metazoa, Arthropoda, Merostomata, Xiphosura, Limulidae.